Molecule: transfer RNA, 72 nt
Filed under: Thermomonospora curvata DSM 43183
Lineage: Bacteria; Bacillati; Actinomycetota; Actinomycetes; Streptosporangiales; Thermomonosporaceae
Also listed under: 1 other name
Description: tRNA-Val (GAC) (tRNA-Val-GAC-1-1)
Rfam family: tRNA
About the family: Transfer RNA (tRNA) molecules are approximately 80 nucleotides in length.
Source: Rfam by way of RNAcentral
GGGCGAUUAGCUCAGUGGGAGAGCGCUUCCCUGACACGGAAGAGGUCACUGGUUCAAUUCCAGUAUCGCCCA